UAAGCGGAGGAAAAGAAACCAACAGGGAUUGCCCUAGUAACGGCGAGUGAAGCGGCAACAGCUCAAAUUUGAAAUCUGGCUACAUUCCGUAGUCCGAGUUGUAAUUUGUAGAGGAUGCUUUUGGUGAGGUGCCUUCCGAGUUCCCUGGAACGGGACGCCAUAGAGGGUGAGAGCCCCGUACGGUUGGACACCAAACCUCUGUAUAGCUCCUUCAACGAGUCGAGUAGUUUGGGAAUGCUGCUCUAAAUGGGAGGUAUAUCUCUUCUAAAGCUAAAUAUAGGCUAGAGACCGAUAGCGCACAAGUAGAGUGAUCGAAAGAUGAAAAGCACUUUGAAAAGAGAGUUAAACAGCACGUGAAAUUGUUGAAAGGGAAGCGCCUAUGACCAGACUUGUUUCUGGCAGUUUCGUUAGCCCUCGGGCUGAUUUACUCUGUCCAGUACAGGCCAGCAUCAGUUUGCUGUCGGGGAGAAAGGCUCUGGGAACGUAGCUCCCCCCUUCUGGGGGGGAGUGUUAUAGCCCUCUGCAUAAUACCCUUCGGCAGACUGAGGACCGCGCUUCGGCAAGGAUGCUGGCGUAAUGGUCAUCAGCGACCCGUCUUGAAACACGGACCAAGGAGUCAACCUUAUGUGCGAGUGUUUGGGUGUAAAACCCCAGCGCGUAAUGAAAGUGAACGUAGGUGAGAGCUUCGGCGCAUCAUCGACCGAUUCUGAUGUUUUCGGAUGGAUUUGAGUAAGAGCACACAGGGUUGGACCCGAAAGAAGGUGAACUAUGCUUGUAUAGGGUGAAGCCAGAGGAAACUCUGGUGGAGGCUCGCAGCGGUUCUGACGUGCAAAUCGAUCGUCAAAUAUGAGCAUGGGGGCGAAAG
Molecule: ribosomal RNA, 865 nt
Filed under: Ceratocystis harringtonii
Lineage: Eukaryota; Fungi; Ascomycota; Sordariomycetes; Microascales; Ceratocystidaceae
Description: eukaryotic LSU rRNA
Rfam family: Eukaryotic large subunit ribosomal RNA
Source: RNAcentral